Molecule: ribosomal RNA, 398 nt
Filed under: uncultured bacterium
Lineage: Bacteria
Description: partial 16S ribosomal RNA
Rfam family: Bacterial small subunit ribosomal RNA
Source: RNAcentral
CCUACGGGAGGCAGCAGUGAGGAAUAUUGGUCAAUGGGCGCGAGCCUGAACCAGCCAAGUAGCGUGAAGGAUGACUGCCCUACGGUUUGUAAACUUCUUUUAUCAAGGAAUAAAGUGAGGCACGUGUGCCUUUUUGUAUGUACUUUAUGAACAAGGAUCGGCUAACUCCGUGCCAGCAGCCGCGGUAAUACGGAGGAUGCGAGCGUUAUCCGGAUUUAUUGGGGUUAAAGGGAGCGUAGGUGGGUUGUUAAGUCAGUUGUGAAAGUCUGGGGCUCAACCUUCAAAUUGCAUUUGAUACUGGCAGUCUUGAGUACAGUUGAGGUAGGCAGAAUUCGUGGUGUAGCGGUGAAAUGCUUAGAUAUGGCGAAGAACUCCGAUUGCGAAGGCAGCAUACUAGA